This 301-nucleotide ribosomal RNA is filed under the name uncultured bacterium. RNAcentral describes it as "partial 16S ribosomal RNA". It matches the Rfam family "Bacterial small subunit ribosomal RNA", at positions 509 to 807 of the family's 1533-position model. The record is from RNAcentral.
CAGUCGCCGCGGGAAUACGAAGGGUGCAAGCGCUACUCGGAAUUACUGGGCGUAAAGCGUGUGUAGGUGGUUGUUUAAGUCUGUCGUGAAAGCCCUGGGCUCAACCUGGGAAUUGCGAUGGAUACUGGGCGACUAGGGUGCGGUAGAGGAUAGUGGAAUUUCCGGUGUAGCAGUGAAAUGCGUAGAGAUCGGAAGGAACAUCUGUGGCGAGGGCGACUAUCUGGGCCAACACUGACACUGAGACACGAAAGCGUGGGGAGCAAACAGGAUUAGAUACCCCCGUAGUCCCUGUCUCUUAUAC